RNAcentral lists this ribosomal RNA (253 nucleotides) under uncultured bacterium. RNAcentral describes it as "partial 16S ribosomal RNA". It matches the Rfam family "Bacterial small subunit ribosomal RNA", at positions 524 to 776 of the family's 1533-position model. The record is from RNAcentral.
UACGUAGGGGGCAAGCGUUGUCCGGAAUCAUUGGGCGUAAAGAGCGUGUAGGCGGCCCGGUAAGUCCGCUGUAAAAGUCAAAGGCUCAACCUUUGAAUGUCAGUGGAUACUGCCGGGCUAGAGUCCGGAAGAGGCGAGUGGAACUCCUGGUGUAGCGGUGGAAUGCGCAGAUAUCAGGAAGAACACCAACGGCGAAAGCAGCUCGCUAGGACGGUACUGACGCUGAGACGCGAAAGCGUGGGGAGCGAACAGG